This 315-nucleotide unclassified non-coding RNA is filed under the name fungal sp. RNAcentral's name for it is "partial internal transcribed spacer region". The stretch from base 1 to 46 matches the Rfam family "Eukaryotic small subunit ribosomal RNA", at positions 1786 to 1831 of the family's 1831-position model. Lineage: Eukaryota; Fungi. The record is from RNAcentral.
AAGUCGUAACAAGGUAACCGUAGGUGAACCUGCGGUUGGAUCAUUACUGAAUACUCAUCCGGGAUUUUCCCGGACAGGCUUUUCGGAGUUUUGUCCGGGCGAUCCCCUAUGAUAUUACACCCCCUUGUGAAUUGUUACCGUAUUUUUGGCAGCCGUCCAAUUCCCAAUUUUUUUUUGGGUUUUUUCGGCUAUCAGCUUUAAAAAAAUAAAAACACCAUGGAACUUUUUCAUCGCGUCUCCUAGCAAAUACCUAAUGGGUUUUGCAUAUUAUAAGUAAAUAGUAAACAACUUUUGACAACGGAUCUCUUGGCUCUC